UCCGGCGUAGUGUAGAGGUUUAGCAUUUCAGAUUUUCACUUCUUGGAGAUCUUCUGAGGACCCGAGUUCGAACCUCGGCGUCGGAG
Non-coding RNA from Podospora conica, 86 nucleotides. Lineage: Eukaryota; Fungi; Ascomycota; Sordariomycetes; Sordariales; Podosporaceae. The record is from the annotation of a GenBank genome assembly.